RNAcentral lists this ribosomal RNA (700 nucleotides) under uncultured bacterium. RNAcentral's name for it is "bacterial SSU rRNA". It matches the Rfam family "Bacterial small subunit ribosomal RNA", at positions 56 to 755 of the family's 1533-position model. The record is from RNAcentral.
UGCAAGUCGAGCGGGAUUCAUGAGGACGAAACUUCGGUCUAGAAAUCAUGAUGAGAGCGGCGGACGGGUGAGUAACGCGUAGGCAACCUGCCCUUAACACAGGGAUAGCCUCGGGAAACCGGGAUUAAAACCUGAUAAUGCCAAAGAGUCACAUGGCUCUUUGGCCAAAGAUUUAUCGGUUAAGGAUGGGCCUGCGUCUGAUUAGUUAGUUGGUGGGGUAACGGCCUACCAAGACGACGAUCAGUAGCCGACCUGAGAGGGUGAUCGGCCACAUUGGAACUGAGACACGGUCCAAACUCCUACGGGAGGCAGCAGUGGGGAAUAUUGCACAAUGGGCGAAAGCCUGAUGCAGCAACGCCGCGUGAGCGAUGAAGGCCUUUGGGUCGUAAAGCUCUGUCCUAGGGGACGAACAAAAUGACGGUACCCUUGGAGGAAGCCCCGGCUAACUACGUGCCAGCAGCCGCGGUAAUACGUAGGGGGCAAGCGUUAUCCGGAAUUAUUGGGCGUAAAGAGUACGUAGGUGGUCUCUUAAGCGCAGGGUUUAAGGCAAUGGCUUAACCAUUGUUCGCCCUGUGAACUGGGAGACUUGAGUGCAGGAGAGGAAAGCGGAAUUCCUAGUGUAGCGGUGAAAUGCGUAGAUAUUAGGAGGAACACCAGUGGCGAAGGCGGCUUUCUGGACUGUAACUGACACUGAGGUACG